AACGAACGCUGGCGGCAUGCCUAACACAUGCAAGUCGAACGAGACCUUCGGGUCUAGUGGCGCACGGGUGCGUACCGCGUGGGAACCUGCCCUUAGGUUCGGAAUACCUGCCCGAAAGGGGUGCUAAUACCGGAUAAUGUCUUCGGACCAAAGAUUUAUCGCCUUUGGAUGGGCCCGCGUUGGAUUAGCUAGUUGGUAGGGUAAAAGCCUACCAAGGCGACGUUGCAUAGCUGGUCUGAGAGGAGGAUCAGCCACACUGGGGCUGAGACACGGCCCAGACUCGUACGGGAGGGAGCAGUGGGGAAUAUUGGGCGAUGGGCGAUAGUGUGAUCCAGCAAUGCCGGGUGAGUGAUGAAGGCCUUAGGAUUGUAAAGCUCUUUUACCCGGGAUGAUAAUGACAGUACCGGGAGAAGAAGCACCGGCUAACUCCGUG
RNAcentral lists this ribosomal RNA (433 nucleotides) under uncultured bacterium. Its description in RNAcentral is "partial 16S ribosomal RNA". It matches the Rfam family "Bacterial small subunit ribosomal RNA", at positions 29 to 507 of the family's 1533-position model. The record is from RNAcentral.